RNAcentral lists this ribosomal RNA (301 nucleotides) under uncultured bacterium. RNAcentral's name for it is "partial 16S ribosomal RNA". It matches the Rfam family "Bacterial small subunit ribosomal RNA", at positions 509 to 807 of the family's 1533-position model. The record is from RNAcentral.
CAGUAUCCGCGGGAAUACGUAGGUGGCAAGCGUUGUCCGGAAUUAUUGGGCGUAAAGCGCGCGCAGGUGGUUUAAUAAGUCUGAUGUGAAAGCCCCCGGCUCAACCGGGGAGGGUCAUUGGAAACUGGUUGACUUGAGUGCAGAAGAGGAGAGUGGAAUUCCAUGUGUAGCGGUGAAAUGCGUAGAUAUAUGGAGGAACACCAGUGGCGAAGGCGACUCUCUGGUCUGUAACUGACGUUGAGGCUCGAAAGCGUGGGUAGCAAACAGGAUUAGAGACCCCCGUAGUCCCUGUCUCUUAUAC